Small nuclear RNA from Fukomys damarensis (Damara mole-rat), 105 nucleotides. The record is from Ensembl. NCBI's taxonomy places the organism in Eukaryota, Metazoa, Chordata, Mammalia, Rodentia, Bathyergidae.
GUUCUCUUUCACAGAACAUACACUGAAAUUGGAGUGAUAUAAUGAAGAUUAGUAAAGCUUCUGUGUAAAGAUGACACAGAAAUUUGUGAAAUUUUCCAUAGUCUU